This 477-nucleotide ribosomal RNA is filed under the name uncultured anaerobic ammonium-oxidizing bacterium. Its description in RNAcentral is "bacterial SSU rRNA". It matches the Rfam family "Bacterial small subunit ribosomal RNA", at positions 365 to 832 of the family's 1533-position model. The record is from RNAcentral.
UUCGCAAUGCCCGAAAGGGUGACGAAGCGACGCCGCGUGCGGGAAGAAGGCCUUCGGGUUGUAUACCGCUGUCGGGAGUUAGGAAAUGCAAGGAUGUUAAUAGCGUCUUUGCUUGACUAAGGCUCCGGAGGAAGCCACGGCUAACUCUGUGCCAGCAGCCGCGGUAAUACAGAGGCGGCAAGCGUUGUUCGGAAUUAUUGGGCGUAAAGAGCACGUAGGCGGCCGUGUAAGUCGGUUGUGAAAGCCUUCCGCUCAACGGGAGAACGGCAUCCGAUACUGCAUGGCUCGAGUGCGGGAGGGGAGAGUGGAACUUCUGGUGGAGCGGUGAAAUGCGUAGGUAUCAGAAGGAACACCGGCGGCGAAGGCGACUCUCUGGCCCGUAACUGACGCUGAGUGUGCGAAAGCUAGGGGAGCAAACGGGAUUAGAUACCCCGGUAGUCCUAGCCGUAAACGAUGGGCACUAAGUAGAGGGGUUUU